GCCCGGCUAGCUCAGUCGGUAGAGCAUGAGACUCUUAAUGUCAGGCUAGUGGGUUCGAGCCCCUCGAUAGGCG
RNAcentral lists this transfer RNA (73 nucleotides) under Danio rerio (zebrafish). It matches the Rfam family "tRNA". Rfam says of the family: Transfer RNA (tRNA) molecules are approximately 80 nucleotides in length. Lineage: Eukaryota; Metazoa; Chordata; Actinopteri; Cypriniformes; Danionidae. The record is from Rfam by way of RNAcentral.